UACGUAGGGUGCGAGCGUUGUCCGGAAUUACUGGGCGUAAAGAGCUCGUAGGUGGUUUGUCGCGUUGUUCGUGAAAUCUCACAGCUUAACUGUGGGCGUGCGGGCGAUACGGGCAGACUGGAGUACUGCAGGGGAGACUGGAAUUCCUGGUGUAGCGGUGGAAUGCGCAGAUAUCAGGAGGAACACCGGUGGCGAAGGCGGGUCUCUGGGCAGUAACUGACGCUGAGGAGCGAAAGCGUGGGGAGCGAACAGG
This 253-nucleotide ribosomal RNA is filed under the name uncultured bacterium. RNAcentral's name for it is "partial 16S ribosomal RNA". It matches the Rfam family "Bacterial small subunit ribosomal RNA", at positions 524 to 776 of the family's 1533-position model. The record is from RNAcentral.